RNAcentral lists this ribosomal RNA (253 nucleotides) under uncultured bacterium. RNAcentral's name for it is "partial 16S ribosomal RNA". It matches the Rfam family "Bacterial small subunit ribosomal RNA", at positions 524 to 776 of the family's 1533-position model. The record is from RNAcentral.
UACAGAGGGGGCAAGCGUUGUUCGGAAUUACUGGGCGUAAAGGGCGCGUAGGCGGUCUUGCAAGUCCUGUGUGAAAUCCCUCGGCUCAACUGAGGAACUGCACAGGAAACUGCUUGGCUUGAGUUCGGGAGAGGGAAGCGGAAUUCCGGGUGUAGCGGUGAAAUGCGUAGAUAUCCGGAGGAACACCGGUGGCGAAGGCGGCUUCCUGGACCGACACUGACGCUGAGGCGCGAAAGCUAGGGGAGCAAACAGG